GACGAACGCUGGCGGCGUGCUUAACACAUGCAAGUCGAACGGAAAGGCCCGGCUUUUGUGUGGUUCUCGUGUGGCGAACGGGUGAGUAACACGUGUGUAACCUGCCCUUGACUUUGGGAUAACUUCAGGAAAAUGGGGCUAAUACCGGAUAGGAGCUCCUGCUGCAUGGGGGUGGAUGGAGAGUUUCGGCGGUUGUGGAUGGACUCGCGGCUUAUCAGCUUGUUGGGGGGGUUGUGGCUUACCAAGGUUUUGACGGGUAGCCGGCCUGAGAGGGUGACCGGCCACACUGGGACUGAGAUACGGCCCAGACUCCUACGGGAGGCAGCAGUGGGGAAGACUGCACAAUGGGCGGCAGCCUAAUGAAGCAACGCCGCGUGCGGGAUGACGGCCUUCGGGUUGUAAACCGUUUUCGCAUGUGACGAAGCGUGAGUGACGGUAAUGGGUAAAGAAGCACCGGCUAACUACGUG
Molecule: ribosomal RNA, 468 nt
Filed under: uncultured bacterium
Lineage: Bacteria
Description: partial 16S ribosomal RNA
Rfam family: Bacterial small subunit ribosomal RNA
Source: RNAcentral